GGCCCUGUAAUUCAACAGGAUAGAUCGCGAUCUUCUAAAUCGCGGGUGGAUGUUCGAGUCAUCCCAGGGCCACCA
This 75-nucleotide transfer RNA is filed under the name Agrobacterium sp. SORGH_AS_0440. Its description in RNAcentral is "tRNA-Arg". It matches the Rfam family "tRNA". From Rfam's summary of the family: Transfer RNA (tRNA) molecules are approximately 80 nucleotides in length. Their secondary structure includes four short double-helical elements and three loops (D, anti-codon, and T loops). RNAcentral also lists the same sequence under 2 other names. Lineage: Bacteria; Pseudomonadati; Pseudomonadota; Alphaproteobacteria; Hyphomicrobiales; Rhizobiaceae. The record is from RNAcentral.